Molecule: long non-coding RNA, 1316 nt
Filed under: Anolis carolinensis (green anole)
Lineage: Eukaryota; Metazoa; Chordata; Lepidosauria; Squamata; Anolidae
Description: lncRNA (ENSACAG00000036034.1)
Source: RNAcentral
AGACCUUAAUAUAGGGCUGAGGAACCUGUCACAAUACAGACUCCUCUUAAAGAGCCACAUACAAUAAGUAAAGUUAGCAAAUGUUUAUUAAAUGAUAAAUUGAACUCAGAAACACUUAACUUUAGUGUUUCCACCAAAAGUAAAUGUCUUUGCUUCAAGAAAAGGCACAAAACAGGAACAGAAAGAUAACCCAGAUUAUCUAGUUUGAUAAUCUGGUUCAAAUAUAACCAAAACGUUCACUGAAACAAGCGCCACGCUAUGCUGUGGCACAGAGAGUCAGGGAAGCGCCAAACACUCUAAAAUAAUGAGUGCAAAUGAUACCGUUGUCAGAAGCCAAGCCAAGUUCAAAAGCCAAAAGCGCCAAGCCAGGAGCAAAACGCUGUCGUCAGGAGCCAAACUGGGUUCAAGAGCCAGGAACGCCAAACCAGGAACCUCAAAGCAGGAACGAACACUGUUGUCAGGAGCCAAACUGGAUUCAGGAGCCAGGAACGCCAAGCCAGAAACGCCAAGCCAGGGAUGCCAAAGCAGGAAUGAACGCUGUUGUCAGGAGCCAAACUGUAUUCAGGAGCCAGGAGCGCCAAGCCAGAAAUGCCAAGUCAGGAAUCAAUCCUGAUUCAGAACAUGAAGCUGUACAGCCAGGACCCAAGGAGAACAGGCAGCGACAAAGCAAUGUCCCAAAAACGACACCUUGCCUUCUGCAAGGGACCAUCAAUUUCAACUCCACUUCUAACUUACACCUCGGAGUCCGAUGAUGAUGAGGCCUCCACCCUGUCAUUAUCCACAGCUGAUCUUGAUCUCAUAUGUGAACCUCACCCACCAGCCCUCCAAUCACUCCAUCUUUGUUCAAGACUUAGAUCUCCCCAUGUCUCUGGUGUACCAGUAGCAUGCCAGUCUCCCGAUGCACCCUUAGAAACUGGUGCUGCACACACAUUUACUUGAGUCCAACCUGCAGCUUAUUCCAUCCCACUCUCAGACCCAUCAUCCCCAGAAAAACCUUCAAACGUUUCAUCUUCCGUGGGAGCAGUAAGUAUAUCAUGAAUCUUCUUUCUUUCCCUUUCCUCAUCUGACUCUUGCUCCCGAGUUGACCUCCUAGUUCCUCUACUCUCUUCCUCCAUUGAGUCCUCCUCACUAGAGAAGCCUUCAAAGUCUCCUCAUCAGUAGGAGCCAUAAGUAUUUCCCCAAUCCGCUUUACUUGCCGUUCCUCAUCAAACACCUGCUCAACAUUAUCCCUUUUCCUCCUACUAGCAAUUUUACCAGUAGUAGCAGAACUGCCCCUUGGCACAACUACAACAGAACCUGUAACUUGCAGACAGGGU